This 1206-nucleotide long non-coding RNA is filed under the name Ornithorhynchus anatinus (platypus). Its description in RNAcentral is "lncRNA (ENSOANG00000048991.1)". The record is from RNAcentral. Lineage: Eukaryota; Metazoa; Chordata; Mammalia; Monotremata; Ornithorhynchidae.
AUGUGGAAAGGAAGGUGUUGGGAGGGAGGGAGAGGAGAAGGAGCGUGUCCGACGCCGGAAUGGAAGGAGAUUGGUGCGGAAGGGCGGAAUUAUUGUUGGAGACUGUGCGGAGUGUCCAGCAGAGGUCAGUGCCACCGCAGUUUGGUCGGCCUGACCGUCCCCUCCCCCACGGGCGCUGGACCUGCCCAAGGUCAGCUCUGCAGAUGGCUCAGAUGGACUUGCGGGAGGGAGAAGCGCCUUCACCUUCAGCCCAUCUGGGUGACCCCGCUGGAGCUCAUCCUCCCCGCUGCUCAAUCUGGGAAGAAGAGCCCCGAGAGUCUCUGCGGCGGCAACAUCCCAGGGAGAGGGCCGGAGAGGCCGGCCUGGCCCUCGGAAUCGCAGAGGCCUUCCGGGAGCGGACAUCCAAAGGCCGGUUGUCCGCCCGGUUCCCCAGCCGGACGUCCCACCCGGGGCCGCCUCGAGAUGAGCCGGACCCCGACGCCGUCGACGACCGGGGAAGCAGGCGGAGAUUCGUGCAUUUCACUUCCCAAUGGAGCCACAAGGUGGCACCAGGACCCAACUUUGCCCGGGAAUCCGCCGACGUCGCCCAGCAAACUGCGGGUCCAGGUGGGUUUCCCUGGCUCUGAUGAAUCCAUGGUAUUUAUUGAGCGCUUAGCGUGGGCAGAACUCUAUCCUAAGCACUCGGGAGAGGACAGUGCAACAGACUUGAUGGACGUAUUCCCCUCCCACAACAAGCUGACAGUCCAGAGGGGGAGACAGACAAUACAGAUAAAUAUAUAAAGUAGAAAUAUAAUAUAGAGAACACGUUAGAGAAUUAUGUAAUAGGAAUAAAUGGUAUAAAUAUAAAUGAAUUAUUGCUAUUCAUUCAAUCGUAUUUACUGAGCGUUUACUGUGUGCCGAGCACUGUAAUAAUAAUAAUGAUGAUGGUAUUUGUUAAGCGCUUACUAUGCGCCAAGGACUGUUCGUAGCACUGGGUGGGGCGGGGGGGGAAUACAAGGUAAUCAGGAUGUCCCACGUGGGACUCACAGACUUAAUCCCCAUUUUACAGAUGAGGUCACUGAGGCACAGAGUGACUUGCCCAAAGUCACACAGCUGACGUGACGGAGUCAGGAUUAGAACCCAUGACCUCUGACACCCAAGCCUGUGCUCUUUCCACUGAGCCACGCUGCUUCUCUGUAUUGAGAGCUUGGGAGAGUACAAUACAAC